Molecule: ribosomal RNA, 429 nt
Filed under: Bacteroidota bacterium
Lineage: Bacteria; Pseudomonadati; Bacteroidota
Description: Bacteroidetes bacterium partial 16S ribosomal RNA
Rfam family: Bacterial small subunit ribosomal RNA
Source: RNAcentral
UAGGGAAUCUUCCGCAAUGGACGCAAGUCUGACGGAGCAACGCCGCGUGAGUGAAGAAGGAUUUCGGUUCGUAAAACUCUGUUGUUAGAGAAGAACAGCGCAUAGAGUAACUGUUAUGCGUGUGACGGUAUCUAACCAGAAAGCCACGGCUAACUACGUACCAGCAGCCGCGGUAAUACGUAGGUGGCAAGCGUUGUCCGGAUUUAUUGGGCGUAAAGCGAGCGCAGGCGGUCAAUUAAGUCUGAUGUGAAAGCCCCCGGCUCAACCGGGGAGGGUCAUUGGAAACUGGUUGACUUGAGUGCAGAAGAGGAGAGUGGAAUUCCAUGUGUAGCGGUGAAAUGCGUAGAUAUAUGGUGGAACACCAGUGGCGAAGGCGACUCUCUGGUCUGUAACUGACGCUGAGGCUCGAAAGCGUGGGUAGCAAACAGG